RNAcentral lists this ribosomal RNA (475 nucleotides) under Bacilli bacterium oral taxon C43. RNAcentral's name for it is "bacterial SSU rRNA". It matches the Rfam family "Bacterial small subunit ribosomal RNA", at positions 28 to 483 of the family's 1533-position model. Lineage: Bacteria; Bacillati; Bacillota; Bacilli. The record is from RNAcentral.
GACGAACGCUGGCGGCGUGCCUAAUACAUGCAAGUCGAGCGGAGUUUUUAAAAGCUUGCUUUUAAAAACUCAGCGGCGGACGGGUGAGUAACACGUGGGCAACCUGCCCUGUAGACUGGGAUAACUUCGGGAAACCGAAGCUAAUACCGGAUAAUCAUAGAAGUUGCAUAGCUUCUAUGUAAAAGUUGGGUUUACCUAACACUACAGGAUGGGCCCGCGUCGCAUUAGCUAGUUGGUAAGGUAACGGCUUACCAAGGCGACGAUGCGUAGCCGACCUGAGAGGGUGAUCGGCCACACUGGGACUGAGACACGGCCCAGACUCCUACGGGAGGCAGCAGUAGGGAAUCUUCCGCAAUGGACGAAAGUCUGACGGAGCAACACCGCGUGAGCGAUGAAGGCCUUCGGGUCGUAAAGCUCUGUUGUUAGGGAAGAAACAAGUGCUAUUCGAAUAGGGUGGCACCCUGACGGACCUAAA